UAUUUUUGAUGUUGUCCACAAAUCCUGAGUGGUGUAUGACAUGUCGGAUUAUUUUAACAUAAGUUAUAUUUGAUUCUGUAUGUGUGUUUCGGCUUAUUGUUUUAUUACCUUCUAUAUUGUGAUUUUAUUUUGUUCAGAUCCUUGGUAAACUGUAUGGUUUUUACAAGUUCUUAUGCUGUCAUUUCUACUUUAUCAUCAUCUUUUACUAUUACUUCCUUUAUACUUGAUGGGUUUGCAUAGUAACAUCUCUUAUUUGUGCCGUAAAUGAUCAUUUGCCUUUAAUUUCUAUGUACUUUACUGGUUCAUUGGGUCCAUUGUGUUUACAAGUCAGAUUGAAAAAAAAUAAGCUUGAUCUUCUCAUUCUGUUCAGGAAAAAUUGAUGUUUUGGUUUAAACGUCGCCCUCUGGUAGACGUGAGUCAUGAACAUGGGUUAAUAGCAGCAGAGGAAGGUUUGUGCGAAGUUUUGUUUUUACUGUGGCAGUGGCUCAAGAGGUACAGCUGUUGGCUGGCUUCCCUAAGUCAUGUGCCGAAGUGUCCUUGGGCAAUACAAUGACAUCAUGAAGAGGGUGGGGGGAGCCAGUGUAACUUUCUCAUUUUAAGAAAACAGGAGAAGGUGGAAAACUAAGAACUGAAGUUUAGAAGAUGAGUGUUUGUGUGGGGGAAGAGGAUGAAGCAGAGUCUCCAGGAUCCAGAUCUGUGCCAAUGAAGAAUGACUGGUUCAUAUAUAAGCCUGAAUACAGUGCUAAACCUGGAGCCUCUGACACAAAAGGAACAGCCAUCCUGCUGUUCUGUGUGUCAGGAGAUUCUGAAGGAUCCAGUCUGUAUCAGCUGUGGACACUGGUUCUGCAAAAAGUGCAUCACCUCAUACUGGGGUUCGAGACUGUCAGGAGACUCCUUCUGCCCCCAGUGUGGGAAACGAUCCAGAACCAGAGCUGGACUGCAGACGGGCCAUCAGAUCAACACCGUCCAAACAGAUGUAGCUUUACAGGAGACUUUAGAUGAACAUAAGCUCAGUCUGAGGAGCAGAUCUGAACGUGUGACUGAAGGAGGUUCCAGCUUCAAGUCUGUUCCCAACCACGUUGUUUAUUAAAAUGAAUGGAUCAUGUCGAACCAGCACCUCGACACAAUGUUGAUCCCGUCCUGUGUGCGACAACAGCGCCCCCUUCCGGCGUCACCGCUCCCUCAGUCAGAUGUUUAUAUAAAACAGCUUGAAAGGAAGCGAGCGCUUCGAUCAGUUCAUGCUGAUUUCUUAUCAGACGCGACGCGGACGGAUCCUGUUGCGUCAGCAGUUUUCCACCAGUUUAAUGCGUCGGACUGAACGAUCGCUCCGCGGGAUCAGCGUCGGGAUCGACGGACGGGACGUGUGAAUCCAACUUCUGUGCGACCGAACCAGGGCUGAAGAUGAACGCGAGCGGCGGAACCCGCAGCGGGAAGACUUUCCUCUUCACCUCCGAGUCGGUGGGAGAAGGACACUCCGACAAAAUGUGCGAUCAGAUCAGUGAUGCUGUUCUUGAUUCGUACCUGAGUCAAGACCCCGACUCCAAAGUGGCCUGUGAGUGUGUGGCCAAGACAGGGAUGAUUCUGCUGGUUGGAGAAGUGACGUCUAGAGCCAUAGUGGAUCUGCAGUCGGUGGUUCGAGACACCGUGAAGAAAAUCGGAUAUGACGACUCUUUGAAAGGUGCCGUGUGACGAUGUUUAAGUCGACGUAUGGUCCUGUUGCUGGUUAUGACUAAUGUAUACAGAUGUAUACAGAAGAUUUGUUUUAAAACAAACCAAAGACGUUCCUGCAUUUAUCUUCUUUCAUACUUAGUGACAGUGACCUCAGUGACCUCUACAGGUCCCUGCAGAGGUCGUGGGGUGCUGGAGCCUGUCCCAGCUAAUUUAGGGCGAGAGGCGGGUACUCCCCAGGCAGGUCACUAGUGCAUCGCAGGGCUGUGAUAACAGGUUUUAUUAAUUAAUUAUUUACCAAAUAUAAAACAGUACUUUGUCAUAGGGGAAGAGUGACCAUUUUCUAAUGUCUGAAACCUGGUUUGAUUAAACUGAAUUUACCUGAAAGUCAGUAUCCCAGUGAAGCUGCAUAUGAUCCUUCUUAACAGCUAAUUAAACAUUGAAAAAAGA
RNA transcript from Betta splendens (Siamese fighting fish), 2118 nucleotides. It is a transcript of the gene named S-adenosylmethionine synthase-like, with no coding region annotated. Lineage: Eukaryota; Metazoa; Chordata; Actinopteri; Anabantiformes; Osphronemidae. The record is from RefSeq and is a predicted model, not a curated record. The transcript is spliced from 7 exons.